Long non-coding RNA from Oncorhynchus tshawytscha (Chinook salmon), 504 nucleotides. Lineage: Eukaryota; Metazoa; Chordata; Actinopteri; Salmoniformes; Salmonidae. The record is from Ensembl.
CGACUUGUAGCCUAGUGGUUAGAGCGUUGGGCCAGUAACCAGCAGGUAGCCUAGUGGUUAGAGCGUUGGGCGACUUGUAGCCUAGUGGUUAGAGCGUUGGGCCAGUAACCGAAAGGUUGCUGGAUUGAGACCCCAAGCUGACAAGGUAAAAAUCUGUCGUUAUGUCCCUGAACAAGGCAGUUAACCCAACGUUCCCCGGUAGGCUGUCAUUGUAAAUGAGAAUUUGUUCUUAACUGACUUGCCUAGUUAAAUAAAGGUUAUAUAUCUCAGCAAAAAAAUAAACUUCCCUUUUUCAGGACCCCGUCUUUCAAAGAUAAUUGGUUAAAAUCCAAAUAACUUCACAGAUCUCCAUCGUAAAGGGUUUAAACACUGUUUGCCAUGCUUGUUCAAUGAACCAUAGACAAUUAAUGAACAUGCACCUGUGGAACGGUCGUUAGCUUCUUAGGGCUGAAAUCCUGCUAACGGGAUCGAUAUGACAACAGCCAGUGAAAGUGCAGGGUGCCA